ACCAAUGACAUAAGAUAGCGCAAUUGUUAAAGCGCUCUGUAUAGCUCUUUUAGGGUCUGGUUUCUCCAAUCCCAGCUCAAACCUGCAUACAUUGCUCUGGUUAGUUAAGUUGGUUUGAUAAUUCCAAAUCAAUUUUUAUAUUUUAUAUGAUUGAAAUCUUGCUGUUUACUAAUAUAUGUGUGGUUUUCAUUGUUGAAAGCUUCUUAUAUGAGCUAUGGCAAACGCAUACAGGAUAAUCGAAACAUUUCUGAUUAGUAUCUCAGACACCAUCAGGACAUCAACAUUUGCUUUCUAGUAUAACUGAUGAAGAGAUUGACAAAGGGAGUAGCAACAGUUGGUCAUAUUACCUC
Molecule: long non-coding RNA, 350 nt
Filed under: Oryza sativa (Asian cultivated rice)
Lineage: Eukaryota; Viridiplantae; Streptophyta; Magnoliopsida; Poales; Poaceae
Description: long non-coding RNA (OSAT_LNC000792)
Source: RNAcentral